This 474-nucleotide ribosomal RNA is filed under the name uncultured bacterium. Its description in RNAcentral is "partial 16S ribosomal RNA". It matches the Rfam family "Bacterial small subunit ribosomal RNA", at positions 31 to 507 of the family's 1533-position model. The record is from RNAcentral.
GAACGCUGGCGGCAUGCCUUACACAUGCCAGUCGAACGGUAACAGGUUAAGCUGACGAGUGGCGAACGGGUGAGUAAUGUAUCGGAACGUGCCCAGUCGUGGGGGAUAACUGCUCGAAAGAGCAGCUAAUACCGCAUACGACCUGAGGGUGAAAGCGGGGGAUCGCAAGACCUCGCGCGAUUGGAGCGGCCGAUAUCAGAUUAGGUAGUUGGUGAGGUAAAGGCUCACCAAGCCGACGAUCUGUAGCUGGUCUGAGAGGACGACCAGCCACACUGGGACUGAGACACGGCCCAGACUCCUACGGGAGGCAGCAGUGGGGAAUUUUGGACAAUGGGCGCAAGCCUGAUCCAGCCAUGCCGCGUGCGGGAAGAAGGCCUUCGGGUUGUAAACCGCUUUUGUCAGGGAAGAAAAGGUUCUGGCUAAUACCUGGGACUCAUGACGGUACCUGAAGAAUAAGCACCGGCUAACUACGUG